CCUACGGGCGGCUGCAGUGAGGAAUAUUGGUCAAUGGACGAGAGUCUGAACCAGCCAAGUAGCGUGAAGGAUGACUGCCCUAUGGGUUGUAAACUUCUUCUAUAUGGGAAUAAAUUACUCCACGUGUGGGAUUGGGUAUGUAUCAUAUCAAUAACGGUCGGCCAAUUCCGCGCCAGCAGCCGCGGUAAUACGGAGGAUCCGAGCGUUAUCCGGAUUUAUUGGGUGUAAGGGGACCGUAGGUGGAUUGUUAAGUCAGUUGUGAAAGUUUGCGGCUUAACCGUAAAAUUGCAGUUGAAACUGGCAGGCUUGAGUACAGUAGAGGUGGGCGGAAUUCGAGGUGUAGCGGUGAAAUGCUUAGAUAUCACGAAGAACACCGAUUGCGAAGGCAGUUCACUGGACUGCAACUGACACUGAGGCUCGAAAGUGUGGGUAUCAAACAGGAUUAGAUACCCGAGUAGUC
This 460-nucleotide ribosomal RNA is filed under the name uncultured bacterium. RNAcentral describes it as "partial 16S ribosomal RNA". It matches the Rfam family "Bacterial small subunit ribosomal RNA", at positions 338 to 795 of the family's 1533-position model. The record is from RNAcentral.